This is a long non-coding RNA of Anthonomus grandis grandis, 7385 nucleotides long. RefSeq lists it as uncharacterized. Lineage: Eukaryota; Metazoa; Arthropoda; Insecta; Coleoptera; Curculionidae. The record is from RefSeq and is a predicted model, not a curated record. The transcript is spliced from 2 exons.
CGUCAUAAAAUAAAUUCGAAAAAAUUGGUUUCAAAAUGCUAAUCAAACAACAAUAGUUUUAAUUAUAAGACCACGCCUAGUACUUUGGUUUGUUACAUUUUAUUAUUAGCCAGUUUAGUGUUGAGUUGAUUCCGGAACUUUUUUUAUGUAAGUAUUGAAAGCUUUAGAAUUUUGAAACUUUUUAAAAUUUUAAGCAAUCAAUAUUUAAUUAAAAUCGCUAAUAUGUUGUGAUAAAGUACACGUCUUAUUGUAGUCUUAGGCGGUCUGAUAAUAAGGACAUAAGAAAAAUCUGAAAAUAGAACAUAAGGAGGGCUAGUACAGAGAUCUCUGUAACCAUGAGAUAUAGAAAGAUAUAUAUAGAAUCUAGCGGCUCUGGGUGCUCAAUAACAUGCCGCUUUAAAAUCUACAAAAAUCUGAGUAGUUCGGGAGAUAUCGGAAAAAAAAACGAUUUUUCCAAAAAAAAAAUUAAUAUUUUCUGCUGAGUUUAUUAGAAAAUAUUUUUGAAAUUAAAUGACACUUUCUAAUAGCCACUUUGUGUAUUUUUAAGACGCCGUUAUUAAAUUUUAGAUCCGACGUUUCGUCUUCGGGCCACCAUAAUCAACUUUUUUUUCAAAUACGGACCUUCGAUAUCAAAUAUUAAAAGUGUUUUUAAUGCUAAAUUUAACGGUAUAUCACAAGUUGUAGUUCAAUCAUGUUUUUGACCUUUUUUAACCAUUAUUAAAUAUUUUCGAUGCCUUAGAAGGAAGUAGACUUUGGAAACGAAAUGGUAGUCAUAGAUAUGCUUGAGGUUUGACAUUAACUUAUGAAUUAUUCCAGUGUACGCUUUAAAUUUUUUUAAUUUAUUUUGUAAAAAUAUUUUCGAAUAAAGAAAAAUUUGAUAGCUAGUUGGUCACAUUUUAAGUUAUCGAAAUUGUUAUAACGCAGAGCAGAUAUAAUUGUAUAAAUAUACCGAAAGACGGCGGCCAAGCAGAAGAACCUUCAGUAAGUUAGAACGUAAUCUGAAAGAUCUAAUAAAUAAAUAAUAUGUUUAAAAAACCUGUGCAUUCCCGAUAAAAACCAAGUAACGAAGACAAAAUGACGAACGUAUUAUUAGCUGUUCACGAAAACUCUGAGAUUUCAACACGGGAAAUUGAAAAUAAUGUAGGCGUGAACAAAUUCAAGGCGCAAUUCAUUAAAAAAAAAUACACGUUUCAUCCGUAUAAAUACAGACGUUGUCAAGGAUUUAGAUCCGGUGAUGCACAGAUGCUUGGGGUACACGAGAAAAUGUCAAGAUAAUCAUAAUUUUACUAACCAGAUCAUCUGGUAUGAAGAGAACAUGGUAACGAAAAAUGGUAUUUUCAAUAAAAGUCACCAUUACUGAGCCACAGAAAAUCCUUGUUUUGAUGAAAGAAGUACAACACCAGAUGUGUUCUGAAUUCAAUAUAUGAGCUGGUAUUGUGGGAAGAAUCUUAGGCCCUUUCAUUUACCACCAUAAUUUGAAUUCUGAGCGUUACCGUAAAUUGCUGCAAAACGAUUUAGAGGAAGCUUAGAGAAUUUGCCUCUUGCAGAAAUUCGAAACCAUUGGUUUCAACAAGAUGGUGCAACGGCUCAUAAUGCCAAAGUAGUUAGGGAAUAUCUAAAGGGUGGUCCAACCAAAACGCACAAUGUUAAUUUAAUGUUACUUGUAAAUAAAACAAAAAGUUUUCAGAGUAUUAUCUUAAUAUUUUUUAUUAUGAUAUAUGACAAUUAUGUGUGAAGGAAAAUAUCGGUCAAAUGCCCGCCACGGCUGCGGUGGCAACCUCUAUCCGAUUGUCCGCAUUUCCAAUGACUCAACAUAACUGAGGUUAAAUGUCGUUAAUAUGCCGCAUAAUUUUAUCCUUUAGCUCUUGAAUUGUUCUUGGCUUAUUGACGUACACUUUUUCUUUUAAGUAUCCUCAAAGAAAGAAGUCUAUCGGUGUCAGAUCACAUGAUCGUGGCAGCCAAUUACCAUCGCCACGACGUGAGAUAACACAGCCAUUGAAUUUCUCGCGCAAAAGAGCCAUUGCUCAAUUUCUGGCCACACGAAGUCCGUUAUCAUCUCGCGAUAGAUCAUUCAUCACUUGGCCGACCUCAUUUUCGAAGAAGUACAGACUGACGCCGCCAGCCCACAAACCGCACCAUACAGUACUUACAGUCACUCUUUGUGAAUGCAUCGGUUUUUCCAUACUCACUCGUGGAUUCUCAUUUGCCGAAAUGCGGCAAUUCUGCUUGUUAACGAAUCCACUGAGGUGAAAGUGUGCCUCGUUGCUAAAGAUGAUUUUCUUUGUAAAGUCGCCAUUUACUUCUGUCUGUUCAACCAACCAAUCGGCGUAUUGACGACGCUUGAAAUGGUCAGUAGGCUUCAGCUCUUGAGUCAAUUGAACCUUGUAAGCGUAUAAAUUCAAAUCUAUAUUCAAAAUUCGGAUCAAUGAUGUUCGUGAGAUGUUCAAUUGUUGGGCACGACCACGAGUUGAGGUUGACGGCUCUUCUGCUACACUAUCGUGAACAACAGCAAUGUUUUCUGCAGAAUGAACUAGGCGAGCAUGCACAGGUGUUUUCACAUUUGGUCGAUUAUGCUGAUCAGAAAAAUCACUGAAGUGCACGAAAUGCAUUUUGAUUUGAACGUCUAUUUUCGUAAAAGACUUCAACAAUCUUGGAGCAACACAAAAAGCGCUGCUCAAUUGUGUACCUCUCCAUAGGUGAAUUCGUCAAAAACUGAAACAAAGAAAUGUCAAACGUUGGUCAAAAAAAUUGACUUUAAGGUGUGAGUCACAAUUAACAUCGUGCAUUAUGGUUGGACCACCCUUUAUCAGCUAGAUUUCCAAGAAGACAUACCAACACAUAUUCCAAAACGCCGUGGCCAGCCUGUUCCCUCGACAUUACUCCCUUAGAUUUCUUUCUUUGGGGUAUGUUCGAAAUUACGUUUAGAAAAAUAAUUUUGAAACCGAAGAAUUUUGAAAAUUGGUGUUUGGAGGCUUUUGAGAGUUAUAACACCAAUGAUCAGUAGCGGCUCGUCCUAAGGGGCCAAGGAGCCAUGGCACUGGUCGUGAAAUGUAUUAAUCAUAUUUUAAAAUUGUCAUUAUUUUUAAAAUUUGUUUUAAUUUCAAGAAUAACUACAAUAUCCAAAGAAAUAACUGAAAAAUCAAUGCAUUACGGGAUAUGUCAUUUCAAUAAUUUUAAUCGCAACAAAGAAACAAUAAAGCCGGCCGAGCACAUUGCGAAAUUGCUCCGCUGUUAAUAUGCCGAUGCAUUGGAAAGGGUUAGAUAUUGAUUCAGAGAAGUUUGGGCCACGCACAUCACAGCCUACGUCAAAAAUUUUUCGUUGUCGCUAGUUAUGUACACAAUUAUGCCACCCUAUAUAUAAUAUUUUGCUUAUGUAUAUGCUUACUCAGUUAGAUUAAAUUUCAUGCUUUAUUUGCAUUAUUUAGUUUAUAUAAUCACUUGUUAUAUUAAGUUAAUCCUUCUUCUUAGAGUACACUGUAUCGCGGCUUGUCAAAAUAAAAGUUUUUUAAAACGUUAUUAACGUGAUAGACUCGUUUCUAAAUGAGUUUUUGUCCGAUUUUACAGUGACGUAGAGUUUCUAGUAGAUUUAAAAAACCUAUAUAAAAGGUGUGCUGCAAUUUUUUCGUGUUUGAGAUAUUUAAAUACAGGGUUUAUUUGUUAGUGAUAAAGUAAAAACUAAUAAAUAGACAAAUUGUGUUGAAUAUCAGUAACUCAAUCUAUUAGAAAAUAGAUACAAUGAUGCUAAGAUGUAUUUGCAAAUAUUUAUAAUUAAGUAAAGAACAAGUUUAAAUAAAGUAUAUAGAUUUAUUAUAAAUAAUAGUUUAAUAUUAAUUGUUGUUCCGAAUUUUUAACUAAUUAUUAAGGUGACUGUUAAAAAAAACUCCUCUCUGAAACACAAGUAACAAAUGAAACCAUCGAAAUAAUAAUUUUACAAUUUAUAUUCCUACAUUUUACACUAUUCCCCAUUAUACCUGUUACCCGAUUAUCAAAAAACGAUACCUAAAAGUCUGCCUUUAUCAAUACUGGAAAAUCCGACACUAAAGGAAAUUAUUAGAAUAUUAAAUUGAAUAUAGGUAUAUAUAGUAAAGUCCAGUGCAACGAUAUAUUAAAAUGGUCACCCGUCAAAACACCAGCAUUCCACCUGCCAAACAAUGUCAUCCACCUUCUAUUUACAUUGUUUGAGAAGUAAAAUGCUGGUGUUUUGACGGGUGACCAUUCUAAUAUAUCGUUGCACUGGACUUUACCUAUAUAAAAUUAUUAGAAGAAAUAGUCUACUUAUCCCGCUGCCAAUCUUCCAAAGAAAAAGGGCUGGUCCCGCUACCUGGCAACCCUGGUUGUUACUUAUAACAUCAGCCUUACGGAUGUGUACUCGGCGAAGGUAGAAAAAUUGUGUCGCAAAGGUAAAGCCCAUGUCAUCGGUGUUGUCAUCCAGCUUAUUGAGCGUUAUAGUUUGCAUGAUAAUUUGAAUGUAAUUUAACUAUGCACGACUUUGACUGAAAUUAAAGUGAGUAGGCAAUAUUUCAGUUCAGUUUCGUGCUAUUUCAGUUCAGUGUGACGGUCCUGGCCCAAACUUCUAUAAAUCGAUCUCUACUCGAGGUCACGCCGCCGAUGCAUUUUUAAUACGAUUAAAUACGUUGGAACUGAGCACAAACGCGGGUGGCUCGGGUUUGUCAAUUCGCAGUAAUGUCGGUUGCUUAAUAUCCAAAUUUAAACAGUACUUUUUGGUAUUGAUUACAACGAUUGAGGCUGAAGGAAAAUUAAUAAAUUAAACAAUUUACUGGCGAAAUUUUUUUCUACGCACCCCCAUUGGAGGAGAAAAUUAAAAUCAGAUUUUGUGGCAUCGAGAAUUCGCCUUGCGAAAUCAUUAUUAGGCGGAAGAAUUCACAAAUAAAGGAGUUUUUCGGGAAUUAAUAAUUUUAGUUCUCAAUUAGAUAAAGAUUCACAAGAUCAUUUUUGACAAAGCAAAUGUUUAAAGGAACUUAUAUUACUAAUAUUCAAAAUGAUUUAUUAAAUUGUAUGCUUGGUGUUUACCACAAUGGCUAAAGAAACUUAAAAAAAAAACAAAUUAUCUAGCUGUUUUAUUAAGUGCUGAUAAAACUACAGAUGUAGCAAAUAGAAACGUAUCAUCCAUUUUUCUCUAAGAGACCAAACGAAAACAAAACAAAGGUAAGUCACAUUCUCAUCAAAUCCAUAUAAUUUUUUUUAAAGCUACACGUGUUUCGCUCCUAUCGGAGCAUCAUCAGGCCUAAAAAAAUACAUUAAGAUAUUUUUCACAAAAAGAACGCUUAUAAAACUCUAUAACUCUCUAAAUAAAAGUAAAGCUAAGACGAGCCCUGUCCUUGUGUGUGUGAACGAUAUUUUCACGUUUGAACCUCACCUUAUUUAUAACAACCUCUCUUAAAAAGUAUUUUCCUUUUCGAUUUUAGAUAUUUUUAGUUUUUAUUGUUAAGAUUGUUUACUUAUAUUCACACUUAUUAGUAUAGUUCGGAUUGUUCCCCAUGGUGUUUUAACACUGUACUUCCGGGCUAGCUUGUACUGCUCUUGCCGGUCUUUUGAAUAGAUCCUUUGUCGAGAUUAGGCGCCUUCUUUUUAUAAUUCUGGGUCGCAUCUAGGUGCUUGGACUUUUGACUCUCUCGGAGAAUAGGAACCGACUGGUCGGGUUAAGGUUUGGUUGCUUGUAUUUAUGAGGUCUGGGUGUGAUGUUAUUGGACGCGAGCCUGCGGAGCAGACCACGCCCCCUCAGACUACGGAAGUUUUCGCUGGUGAGAAAAGGUCGGGCGGAGGUGUGAACGUAACCGGUCCUUUACGGUGCUUUUUGGUAGUAUUUUGACGGUUGGAUUGCGUUUUGUGUGAGGUUUAUUUUUAUGUGGUUUAAAAGGAUGGGAAUUGGGAUUUGAACACGUUAGGAAGAAAACGAACGGACACUGCGAGAACCUAGGCCUCCACUCCCAGCAAUAGUUUGAUCGCCGGGUUGGUGUUUAAUUUCUCAGGUUUUGCCAUUAGAUUGUCGAUUUUCUUUUCUAGGAUCCCGUCAGGCAAACUUAAGAGGUUUAGGAGAUUUGUGUUUUUGGUUGAUAGCUCGGAGCGUUUCAUGUGUGAUGAUGUAUUGCCUUCCUUUGGCUCCGCCCUCCUGUUAUUAGAGUCCGCGUCGGUCCUUCUCAAGGUCUCAGCGAAGCUUUUUUUUUGAAAGUCCUUAAGCGCUCGACGCGGACCCUGAUAUUUAAAAUGUUAUCAAUCUCAAACACAUUCUCUUGCUCUUUGGGUACGAGGAAUCUGAUGAGGUCUGUGGGUCUACGUCGGCCUGGGCCGGUUUUAAACCAACCCAGUUCCUCCGGCUCAAACCCCAUCGCUCUCAGCUCCUCCUCGACCUCUUCUAGCUUGAAGUUUUCAUCAAGUCCUCUCAGUAUCACGUUCAGCUUUCUGUCCUCUUCAAGGAAGAAAUUAUGGAAUUCCAUUCCUUCUUCCUUGAGAAGUCCUGUCAGUUCACGGUGGUCAUUGGGAGUUUUGGGGAAGAGCGCUAAUCCCAGUCUAUCUUUCUGCACUUUUACAAUGUUGAUUUUUCUUUUACAAAAUGUUUGGUAUUUUAAGGCCCAGUUUUUUUGUGUCCCUUAGCACUACUUUAGGCACUUUGUUAAUAUUUGAAAUGGGAUCAGUGCUCCUCCUCUGUUUGUUCCCCAUGUUUGAUCAUGCUACUUGGUGGCCUAUGGGUUAGACGCGCGCCUGUGGUUCGCGAAUCUAUAUGUUGCUGGAUCGUUCCCCACUGGUGACAUUUUACAUUUUUACUUUUUUAUUUAUUUAUUUUUUUAAGCAUACAUUUUUAUCUAUGGUGGGAAUUGUUAACCUAAUUUUUCUUUUGUUGUUAGUUGUAAUGUGAUCUGUGUAGGUCUAGGUAAUAGUUUUAUAAGCGUUCUUUUUGUGAAAAAUAUCUUAACGUAUAUUUUAGGCCUGAUGAUGCUCCGAUAGGAGCGAAACACGUGUAGCUUUAAAAAAAAUUAUAUGGAUUUGAUGAGAAUGUGACUUUGUGUUCUUACCUUUCUUUACCUUUUUACAGAUGUAGCAAGUAAUUGUCCAUUAGUAAUAAUUUUGACGAUAUAUUGACUCCAAUAAGCAAGCCAGUGGAAAAAUUCUGGAAAUUUUUAAACCUUCCUGGACACAAUGCCAUUUUAAUAGCAAAUUAUAUUUUAAACUGAAAAACAAUUUACAACAAUAGAUAUUGGUCCUUUUAUCAGUGACGCGCCAAAUAAGUUAAAAGUGCAAAGGUAUGAUGCUCCGUCAGCAAUGAGCGCUAGUGUAAAUGGAGUACAAAAAAAUGAUUGCUGAUAAAUAUUUGUUUGCAAACUUUGUACAUUGCUAUGCACAUCAAAUAAAUCUUAUAGUGAGCUUCA